CAAAACUCCAGUGCAGCCUCCUCGACGCCUGUCAGCAGGGCUGGGGAGGGGGUUCAAGGCACCAUUUGGUUGGGGCCUCAUAUUUAGGAAAAGCCUCAAAUGUAGAUUUUCAAGAUUCUCUGGUAUUCUCUCCAAAGGAGGUUAUGUAUACGGCAAUUGUAUUCUGGUUUUUUUUUUUGGAUUUUUUGGCCGUGCCCCGAGGCAUGUGGGAUCCUUGUUCCCUGACCAGGGAUCAGACUUGCACUCCCUGUAUUGGAAGCACGGAGUUUUAGCCACCAGACCACCAGGGAAGUCCUACUCUCCUUGUUUGUGUCCGUGUGUCCAGCUGCACUAAAACAGUGUUAACUUUCCCAUGGGCAUCAGCUCUGACACCGUGUCCUGCUCACGAGCCCCAGGGCUUAUGGGAAGCAGGCUUUUGCAGCAGAGCAAGUCACCAAAAGAGUUAGCAAUUCACCGAAAGAAGCAAUAACAAUGGCCAAGGUGUGAUGAAUGCUUCCUCUAUGCAAAACAAGGCUGCAGCCAGGAAUAUUGUUAAGGAUAUUACCCACCAUGUUGCCUGUCUUCCUCAUGAAGACCUGUGGGGAGACUUUCUUUUUAACCUCUGAAUUUGGAAAAGUCUAUCCUCCAGAGGAGAAGGAGGAGAAGGGGAUGACAGAGGAUGAGAUGGUUGGAUGGCAUCACCGACUCGAUGGAAAUGAGUUCGAGCAAACACUGGGAGAUGAUGAAGGACAGGAAAGCCUGGCGUGUUGCAGUCCAUGGUGUCACAAAGCAUUGGACGUGACUGACCAAGUGAACAACAACAAAUCCUCCAGUUAUCGUUACAAAACACUGGCUACAUCCCCCGUGCUGAACAAUGGAUCUUUCUAGCUUAUUUAAUUACCCAAUAGUUUGUAACUCUCACUCUCCUUCCCGCGUGAUGCCCCUCCCCCGCUUCCCUCUCUCAACUGGUAACCACUGGUUUGUCCUCUAUGUUUGUGAGUCUGCUUCCUUUUUGUUAUAUUCACUAAUUUAUAUGUUUUUAGAUUCCACAUGUAAGUGAUAUUCUAUUGGUGUUAUUUUUUAAAGAGAAAAAACUCAACAGAAAAAAUUAAGUCAGGAAGCCGAGUGCCAAGCAAAUAGCUGUUUAGUAAAUGCAAGGUCCUCUUGCAUUCCCUAACCCUCCUUCAAGAACGGAUUCUGAAUACUCUAGAAGCCCUUCCAGGCUCCCAUUUGAGUGGGUUGCCCUUCCCCAUGGCACUUUGCACAUUUAUUUCAUUCUAUCUUUCAAAAUAUUUAGCCCUUCCCAUGCUUGUCUUACCCACUAGAAGAUAGUCCCUGCUGUCAAUCUAGUUGCAUAAAGUUGAAAGUGAAAGUGUUGGUUGCUCAGUCGUGUCCGUCUGUUUGCGACCCCAUAGACUGUAGACUGCUCCUCUGUCCUCGGACUUCUCCAGGCAAGGAUACGGGAAUGGGUUGCCAUUCUCUUCUCCAGGGGAUCUUCCUGACCAUAAACACAAUAUAAAUAAAAAGGAACUGUUUUCCA
Bos indicus x Bos taurus (hybrid cattle) is the source of this 1519-nucleotide long non-coding RNA. NCBI's taxonomy places the organism in Eukaryota, Metazoa, Chordata, Mammalia, Artiodactyla, Bovidae. The record is from Ensembl.